This is a non-coding RNA of Phalacrocorax carbo (great cormorant), 376 nucleotides long. Lineage: Eukaryota; Metazoa; Chordata; Aves; Suliformes; Phalacrocoracidae. The record is from RefSeq and is a predicted model, not a curated record.
CUGACUUUCAUGUACUACAUGUCAGUCAACGGUGACAUCCCAGAACACUGACUUGGCUGGAUGUGAUUCUGCUCAAACAUUGAAGAAUGCGAGACCUCGCGGCUCAGGUAACGAGCAGCCUGCUGCAGUUUCCCGAGGUGACCAUUCAGGCUCUUGGGGAAGAUGAGCUCACCCGAGGGUCUGUGCUGCGUGGGCGGUUUUCCAGAGGGAGAGAUGGGCUGGCCUGGCUGGCGUGUGGCCCUCAGCUGGAGGUCGUGAGCGCUGUGACGGGAGAGCGGCUCUCUGCACACCGUUUCAGUGGAGCCCGUGAGCAGCCUCCCACCAUCCGCGUGGUGAAGGAGGUUUCCUGGCAGACGGGAACGGGGCUGCUGGUUGG